This 253-nucleotide ribosomal RNA is filed under the name uncultured bacterium. RNAcentral describes it as "partial 16S ribosomal RNA". It matches the Rfam family "Bacterial small subunit ribosomal RNA", at positions 524 to 776 of the family's 1533-position model. The record is from RNAcentral.
GACGUAGGGUCCUAGCGUUGUUCGGAAUCACUGGGCGUAAAGCGCAUGUAGGCGGCUUGAUAAGUCAGAUGUGAAAUCCUGCGGCUUAACUGUAGAAUUGCAUUUGAAACUAUUGAGCUUGAGUAUGACAGGGGAUGGUAGAAUUCCUGGUGUAGUGGUGAAAUGCGUAGAUAUCAGGAGGAACACCGGCGGCGAAGGCGGCCAUCUGGGUCUAUACUGACGCUGAGAUGCGAAAGUGCGGGGAUCAAACAGG